Ctenopharyngodon idella (grass carp) is the source of this 2793-nucleotide long non-coding RNA. RefSeq lists it as uncharacterized. Lineage: Eukaryota; Metazoa; Chordata; Actinopteri; Cypriniformes; Xenocyprididae. The record is from RefSeq and is a predicted model, not a curated record. The transcript has 3 exons.
GAGCGCGCAAAAGGGCAUUUCGCACGCGCGUGAACUGGGUUUUGCAGAGAAAUGUUCGUCUCGCAAAUAAAAAAAAUAAGAGAGAGAGCGCACGCAAACAGAGACAAGUCGUACUCAAGCCUUUCUGAUUAGUUGCGUUUUGGUUAGUAAAUGUUGAUCAUGCGCAGAUGUCAGCAAAUGGAAUAGCAAAUUCGGAAUAAAUAGGACUACGUGUCUCGUCACUGUGGUUAUUUAUAGCUGUAAAAGUGAAAGUGUUUUUGUAUGGAUCUCGCUCCGCUGUUGUUCAGUUUUCCUUGUUCCUGGAAACGUUUAUUUUUGCGCAAGUAGUUUUUCAUUUCAAUAUUCUUGCUGUGUGGACUGACUGCUAAGAAGAAUUUGGUUAGAAUGAUGCAGCCUACUUGUCUCUAUUGCAAUGUAUAUUUACAGUUGACAGCAAUCUCAUUUAGUUAGGCCUGUACACAGAAGUGUGAGCCGACAGAAACGAUUAUCGAAUGUAAAUUGUAUUUAAAACCUAUUUAAACGCUGUGAAAGGCAUUUGUGAGAAUUUUUUUUCUUCUUUUAGCAAACAAAUCUAACACUAAAACUACGGCGCUUCUAUUCUUGCGUCUCGUCCUCGGAGUCGGAAACUCAAAAGUGAGACUGAAAAAGAAUGGAUUCAGUAGGAGUGAAUGUAAUUGAAACUGCUGCUUUGGGGAGACCCUUCCAACUGGGUAUGCUGUAUGACUGCAGAAAAGAUGCACUAAUACCAGGUACCAAAACACACACACACAUUCACACACAUUGUGUUUUCAUGUUUUAUGGGGACUUUACAUACACAUAAUGAUUUUAUGAAAUUAUUAUUUUUUUUAUCCCCAACCCUAAAGCUACCCCUAAACCUACCCAUCACAGAAAACUUUCUGCAUUUUUACAUUUUCCAAAAACAUAAUUUAGUAGGGCUGGGUAAAAAAUAUCGAUUUCUCGAUUUUAAUCGAUUCUCAUUUUUACGAACCGAUAUCGAUUCUUAAAUCCGCGUUAAGAAUCGAUAUCGAAAAGCAGUAGGCGAGAGAAUGAGUAUGUCAGAAUCCUUAGUAUUCAAAAAAGAGUAGGCGAGAAUUACCUGGGUGAUGUCUGAUUCUCGCGAGAUUCAGACAUGCAUCUACUUAAAGUGCGUCCGAAACCGCCUACUUCUCUACUAUAUAGUAGGGGAAAAGCAGUAGGAGAGCGAAUAAGUAUGUCCGAAACCUCAGUAGGCGAGAAGUUCCCGGAUGUCCUACUGCUUCCGCCCAGAUUCUGAAGUGUUCCUCGAUGGAUACUUUUCUGUCCCAGGAGGCCACGGGAGAGGAUACGUCAUAAUCGAAAAAGGAGGAGAAAAGCGACGCGGAUGCUUUCAAAUGUGAGUAAACACGGUUCCUUGUGUUAAAAUCGCAUUUGUAGAGUAAACUGUUGAAGUGUUGAAGGUGUAAAGACGCUAGACAGUAUAGUAUAGUUGUGAUUUUGCUGUAAAAACACGUUUUAUUAUGUACAGAUAACGGGAGCUUCAGUAAACAUACGUUCGUCUCCAAAGUGGAUUUACAUGAAUUCUAAACCAUAUACAUGCUUACUAAAUGUUUAUUUAACAUCUGACAGGAAAAUCCAAGUUUGUUUUGCUGGUUUCUGUUCAUACUAUGGAGCCCAACUUUCAUAAGCUUCAAAAGCAUCAUAAAAUAAUGUCAUGAAGCUUCUGGAAGUCAGGUUCCAUUGACUGAUAUUGUAUGAACAGCAUGAACCAGCAGGACAAACUCACCUUUUGUGUUCUGAAAAAAAAAAAAAAAAAAAAAAAAAUGAACACAGCAUGAAGGUGAGUAAAUAAUGACUGAAUUUACAUGUUUGUGUGAACUAAACCUUUAUGCCCCCAAAUAGAAAUUGUAUGAAAUGUAUGUAUGCAUUUAUAUUAUAGUAGUACCUUGAAAAAGUAAGAAAUAAGCAGCUUUAUUGAGUGUUUGUGACCAAGACACUAACAAAAAAGGAUUUACAAAAAUCAAAUUUACAUUUGGCAGAUGCUGUUAUCCAAAGUGACUUACAGUGCUCUUAUUACAGGGAAGAUCCCCAUGGACCAACCUGGAGUGAAGUGUCUUGAUCAAGGACACACUGGUGGUGACGACUGUGGAGAUCGAACCAGCAACCUUCUGCUUACCAGCUCAGUGAUUUAGCCCACUACACCACAAAAGUAGUCUUGCUCAUGGAGAGCACACAAAUGUUUGGAGCAGACACAGCAGCAGUCAGAUUGUCCCGCACAUCUUCUCCCAUUCUUGCUUCAAGGUUGUGGGGUUCAGGGGUCCAUCAUCAUCAUCUUCCUCAUCCUCUGGAUCAACGAUGUCCCCAUUGAGAAGAGCAGCAGUGAGGGACAUGAUGGAUGGCAAAGACAGGUGAAGGUGUUCACGGUGGUCAGCUGCUUCAUCAAAAUAAAGCUGCAGAAUGGGCACAGCUGUAAUGAGAUGGCAGUAGGAUGUGGGGAUCACCGCCUGCAAAUACAUGAUUGUUAGAACAAUAAGUUUGAAUAAAGCUUUGUUUCAUGUGUUAUUUACUUGUAUACGCAUUUAUUUAUUGUCAUUGUUACUUUUAUUAAUUCUUUUACUUUUUUUUUAUUAAUUAUGCUAUUAUUAUCAGUAAAUUUAUAUAUAUAUAUUUUAUUACUUCAUGCAUUAAUUCAUUGCUUGACUGUAAAUUGAGAUGUAUUCACAUCAGCUGUAUUUGUCUAGUGUGUAUUCAUGCACAGCUAUGUCAUAUGAUAAAACAUUACAUUUAGCUUGUUUUACUAAAGAAGUAAAAUGAAAA